This 69-nucleotide transfer RNA is filed under the name Scinax sp. KAV00. RNAcentral describes it as "tRNA-Val". The record is from RNAcentral. Lineage: Eukaryota; Metazoa; Chordata; Amphibia; Anura; Hylidae.
CAAAACGUAGCUUAACUAAAGCCCCCCGCUUACACCGAGGUCAUGUCUACUAAACUUAGAUCGUUUUGA